Molecule: ribosomal RNA, 545 nt
Filed under: uncultured Ceratobasidium
Lineage: Eukaryota; Fungi; Basidiomycota; Agaricomycetes; Cantharellales; Ceratobasidiaceae
Description: SSU rRNA
Rfam family: Eukaryotic small subunit ribosomal RNA
Source: RNAcentral
UUGGAGGGCAAGUCUGGUGCCCCCAUCCGCGGUAAUUCCAGCUCCAAUAGCGUAUAUUAAAGUUGUUGCAGUUAAAAAGCUCGUAGUUGAACUUCAGGCCUGGUCGGGCGGUCUGCCUCACGGCAUGUACUGUCUGACUGGGUCUUACCUCUUGGUGAGCCGGCAUGCUCUUCACUGGGUGUGUCGGGGAACCAGGACUUUUACUUUGAGAAAAUUAGAGUGUUCAAAGCAGGCCUAUGCCCGAAUACAUUAGCAUGGAAUAAUAAAAUAGGACGUGCGGUUCUAUUUUGUUGGUUUCUAGAGUCGCCGUAAUGAUUAAUAGGGAUAGUUGGGGGCAUUAGUAUUCAGUUGCUAGAGGUGAAAUUCUUGGAUUUACUGAAGACUAACUUCUGCGAAAGCAUUUGCCAAGGAUGUUUUCAUUAAUCAAGAACGAAGGUUAGGGGAUCGAAAACGAUCAGAUACCGUUGUAGUCUUAACAGUAAACUAUGCCGACUAGGGAUCGGGCGAUCUCACUUUUAUGUGUCGUUCGGCGCCUUACGGGAAAC